AGAGUUUGAUCAUGGCUCAGAAUCAACGCUGGCGGCGUGCCUAACACAUGCAAGUCGCACGAGAAAGGGGAGCAAUCCCUGAGUAAAGUGGCGCACGGGUGAGUAACACGUGACUAAUCUACCCUCGAGUGGGGAAUAACUGAGAGAAAUCUUAGCUAAUACCGCAUAACACUUACGAGUCAAAGCAGCAAUGCGCUUGGGGAGGAGGUCGCGGCCGAUUAGCUAGUUGGCGGGGUAAUGGCCCACCAAGGCGAUGAUCGGUAUCCGGCCUGAGAGGGCGCACGGACACACUGGAACUGAAACACGGUCCAGACUCCUACGGGAGGCAGCAGUGGGGAAUUUUGCGCAAUGGGGGAAACCCUGACGCAGCAACGCCGCGUGGAGGAUGAAAUAUCUUGGUAUGUAAACUCCUUUCGAUGGGGAAGAUAAUGACGGUACCCAUAGAAGAAGCCCCGGCUAACUUCGUGCCAGCAGCCGCGGUAAUACGAGGGGGGCAAGCGUUGUUCGGAUUUAUUGGGCGUAAAGGGUGCGUAGGCGGUUUGACAAGUCUUAUGUGAAAUCUAUGGGCUCAACCCAUAGUCUGCAUAAGAAACUGUUGAGCUUGAGUAUGGGAGAGGUGAGUGGAAUUUCCGGUGUAGCGGUGAAAUGCGUAGAUAUCGGAAGGAACACCUGUGGCGAAAGCGGCUCACUGGACCAUAACUGACGCUGAGGCACGAAAGCUAGGGGAGCAAACAGGAUUAGAUACCCUAGUAGUCC
RNAcentral lists this ribosomal RNA (756 nucleotides) under uncultured bacterium. RNAcentral describes it as "bacterial SSU rRNA". It matches the Rfam family "Bacterial small subunit ribosomal RNA", at positions 8 to 796 of the family's 1533-position model. The record is from RNAcentral.